GUGCGCAAUACAUAAACGUUUACAGCCAAAUAACAACGUAGUUCAGCUUUGCACUUCAUGCAGAACAGUUCAAAAUAAUGGAGGAACCCCCGAAAAGUCCAUUUUCCCUCGUUGUAAUACCUGAAACGAAAGAUGAGCCACUCAAAAGCCCAUCUCUCUCUGUGCCUUCCGAGACAAUGUCCAAAUGGCCAUCCCUCCGUGGUUUAGUGAACGACUGGCAGGAUCUUCUUGGACCGACCAAUGAGAACUCGGAAGGUCACGAAGAUUUCGAUUGGUCUGUCAGUUAUUUCAAAUCGACAAACAGCACCUGUUUCAGUUGGUUCCUCUCUACAGUGACACAAAUAAGUUCCGCAAUAUUAAACUUAUCUUGAUCUUAAUAGUCGGAAUCCUGUACGGUUUACAAUUCCAAAAACUCAAUCAGUUUGCAAUUCCAUUGCAGAAUGUAGAGUGCAGACCAUUAACCAUGCUUCUAUUGAAGUUCAGCGUACAGCAGAAAAUUCCCGUGGGCCGUCAACGAAGAAAACUACAUUGUUGAAGUUUUUAACGAAUUCAAGUAAUUCAAUGAUUCAAAGGUCAAUAUUAACAGCCAGUUUUAAAAUAAUAUUCCAAAAGUCUUAUAGAUAGAGUUAUUCGAAAAAUCUUUGGAUUUGUCAUUUCCAAGACCUGGUCCCUCCAUUGUGACAAGAGCGAUUGACUUUAAUUUAUAUAAGCAAGCAACUUUUGUUAUUUUGCUACCUUUAUUUUUCUAGAGUUGAUUGCUUUAACCGAGGCGUCCGUUAAUAAAAUAAGCUAUACCACAUCAUAGGUUCAGCUGGCUUACGGUCCCCUGAAGAGUAGAGUUUCCAACCGCUGCUUACGCAUCAUAAAGUAAUAUUAGACCUACAAGUUUACCGCCAAUUUGAGUAGAGCCUCUUUCUGGUUUUGUAAGGACAAAUUCUUGAAAUGUAAGAAUAACAAAAUUUCACCUUAACAGAUUAUACGAAGCGUGAAUCUAGACAGAAAAUGUUUUCAUAAAACAAUAAGCUACCUAUGCCGAGAAUCUUAUCUUCGAUUUGGACAUAAAAUUUGAUCGAUAGUUCAUUGAGGACUGAAUUUUGACGUUGUUCUUCGUAUUCCUUAUUCAAGGAAACUAAUUCCAAGUAUGCUUUUGUGUUAUAUUGUGAUUUAACUUUAAGUUACGAGAUCAGCUAUUUUUUCCCCUUUUAAAAAUAAGGUAAGUUCACACAAUACAUGACAUUUGAAUCUACUCGUUUCACAUGCACGCCAUUAUUGUCUAGUUUGCUCAUUUCAAAUAUUACUGGAGAAGAGACUGGCGAAAAGAGAACUAUAGUCUGAUAAGCUUAUUCUUAAUUAUACAUUCCAAAUAAAUUUAUGCUCUCGAGGUCUUAUAAUCUCUGAUUUUCUAAAUCAAUUAAAAUAAAAACAAGGAAAAUAUUGAUUCGAACAUCAACUUCCUUAUAGUUUAAACAAGUCAAAUAUGUGAAUAUCAAUGAAAAAUUCUGAAUGUGAAUGAACGCCAAGCUUCAAGGUCGAUGCGACAGAGAGUUUGAGCGCUCCACUAGCUGAAUAUCACCGACUACAUGAUGGUUUGGUAAGAAGAUGGUCAAAAUGGACAACCAUUUUUCCAGAUGGACAUGGAAAUGGGAAGGAUCUAAUAUCCUGCAUCGGAUUAAAGUGGAUUACCUCCUGUAGAACCUCCAUAGCCACCAACUUGUUCGCUGUGCAUUCCUCCUGUAAAACAUCGCCAGCGGAUUGACCUCCAUGUCCACCUCUUGCAGCUCCCCCAUAGCCACAGGCUUGUGCGCCGUAUCCGACACCGUAUCCUCCAUAGUCAACUGAUUGAUGACCUCCAUGCCCACCUUCUGCUGAUCCUCCGUAAGAAGGAGCAGGACUAGGAACUGCUUGGUGAUAGACCCUUGGUCGUGAAGCCAACACGAGGACAAGCUGAGGGCCAGGGUUACAUUGCGGGAUUGAUGCAGUACCGUAUCCCUUUUUUUGGGGACAAUUUUUUACUAAAAUGGCCUUUUAUAUUGCACUGUCAAAUACAAAUAAAAAUAUAACAAGUUGAGACGUUAUAUUUUAAGUAUAAAAUGAAUACUUACUAAGCACUGUGAUGUUCUUCCGUCCCUUUUCUUGUUUUCUUUUUUUUUUUUUGAUUGCAGGAUCAUCCGGUGUGGCAGACGGUUGGGUUGUUGGAGUAGUAGACUAAGAUUUGUAGGCCCAGGUGUUGGUAGCGUUGGAGGUGAAGCAAUUUUGCUUGGACUUGCAGCGGGUGGAUGAUUACGAGACUUAUCCUGACCGGCAGAUGGUGGGGAAAGUAGAAGUUGUAGCUCACCCGGGCCUGCUGAUGGAUGCUGCUGGAUGAUUUUUUUUUAUUUUAAAAAUAAAAUAAUACAAAUUUUUUACCAAA
This 2410-nucleotide long non-coding RNA is filed under the name Daphnia magna. Its description in RNAcentral is "uncharacterized LOC123472511". The record is from RNAcentral. Lineage: Eukaryota; Metazoa; Arthropoda; Branchiopoda; Diplostraca; Daphniidae.